RNAcentral lists this ribosomal RNA (253 nucleotides) under uncultured bacterium. RNAcentral's name for it is "partial 16S ribosomal RNA". It matches the Rfam family "Bacterial small subunit ribosomal RNA", at positions 524 to 776 of the family's 1533-position model. The record is from RNAcentral.
UACGGAGGGUGCAAGCGUUAAUCGGAAUUACUGGGCGUAAAGCGCACGUAGGCGGCUAUUUAAGUCGGAUGUGAAAGCCCUGGGCUUAACCUGGGAACUGCAUCCGAUACUGGGUAGCUAGAAUGUGGGAGAGGAGAGUGGAAUUUCCGGUGUAGCGGUGAAAUGCAUAGAGAUCGGAAGGAACACCAGUGGCGAAGGCGGCUCUCUGGACCAACAUUGACGCUGAGGUGCGAAAGCGUGGGUAGCAAACAGG